Ixodes scapularis (black-legged tick) is the source of this 110-nucleotide long non-coding RNA. RefSeq lists it as uncharacterized. The transcript has 3 exons. The record is from RefSeq and is a predicted model, not a curated record. Lineage: Eukaryota; Metazoa; Arthropoda; Arachnida; Ixodida; Ixodidae.
AGGGAAUCGACUGCAUCAGAGACCGCAAUCUGCUGAGCAUCAUGGGACCGAGGCACGCAAAAGCUCUCAUAAAUAUCGCGGACUGCGUCAUGGAAGCGACGCCAGCAGCC